RNAcentral lists this ribosomal RNA (525 nucleotides) under uncultured bacterium. Its description in RNAcentral is "bacterial SSU rRNA". It matches the Rfam family "Bacterial small subunit ribosomal RNA", at positions 984 to 1509 of the family's 1533-position model. The record is from RNAcentral.
ACAUCCAGAGAAUUUAGCAGAGAUGCUUUAGUGCCUUCGGGAACUCUGAGACAGGUGCUGCAUGGCUGUCGUCAGCUCGUGUUGUGAAAUGUUGGGUUAAGUCCCGNAACGAGCGCAACCCUUAUCCUUUGUUGCCAGCACGUAAUGGUGGGAACUCAAAGGAGACUGCCGGUGAUAAACCGGAGGAAGGUGGGGAUGACGUCAAGUCAUCAUGGCCCUUACGAGUAGGGCUACACACGUGCUACAAUGGCGCAUCAAAGAGAAGCGACCUCGCGAGAGCAAGCGGACCUCAUAAAGUGCGUCGUAGUCCGGAUUGGAGUCUGCAACUCGACUCCAUGAAGUCGGAAUCGCUAGUAAUCGUAAAUCAGAAUGUUACGGUGAAUACGUUCCCGGGCCUUGUACACACCGCCCGUCACACCAUGGGAGUGGGUUGCAAAAGAAGUAGAUAGCUUAACCUUCGGGAGGGCGUUUACCACUUUGUGAUUCAUGACUGGGGUGAAGUCGUAACAAGGUAGGCGUAGUGCU